CUGCAUGAAGUCGGAAUUGCUAGUAAUCGCAGAUCAGCAUGCUGCGGUGAAUACGUUCCCGGGCCUUGUACACACCGCCCGUCACACCAUGGGAGUCGGUAACACCCGAAGUCGGUAGCCUAACCGUAAGGAGGGCGCCGCCGAAGGUGGGAUUGAUGACUGGGGUGAAGUCGUAACAAGGUAGC
RNAcentral lists this ribosomal RNA (185 nucleotides) under uncultured bacterium. RNAcentral describes it as "partial 16S ribosomal RNA". It matches the Rfam family "Bacterial small subunit ribosomal RNA", at positions 1316 to 1500 of the family's 1533-position model. The record is from RNAcentral.